Long non-coding RNA from Homo sapiens (human), 2112 nucleotides. The record is from Ensembl. NCBI's taxonomy places the organism in Eukaryota, Metazoa, Chordata, Mammalia, Primates, Hominidae.
GCCCUCAAAGCUUUUCCUUAUUAUGCCAUGUCUUGCUACUCUUUUCCCACAACCUCGCUGCACGUGCUGCAUAUCAGGCAGAUGUGCUCAUUCUGCCGCCUGCUUAUUUUCCUUGAAGUGAUUUGCACAGCAGAUGUUCCAGUAAGUGUUCUUUCCUUCGUCCCUUUACAAUUCUGCUAAAAAAAAAAUGCACUAUACAUGUGCUAUUGACCUUCGGAUUUUCAAAGAGAAAACUCUUCACAGCCUCCUCUCCACCUCAGUGGAAAUUGCCUGAUUUUCUCCCCUUGGCACAGAUAAAUCUUAUAAACCUGGGAUCAACAAAAAGACAAGAAAGCAAGAAUUUCACAAAGCAAGCAUUUUCUCCAGAGAGAAGCAUGAUAAGGCCUGGACAUUCUGUGGGAUAUGCAUUAUGAGUUUGCAAUCCAGGGUAGAUCUCCACAUCAAUGUUUCUCUUCCUUUUUAAGGAUCAUCAUGAAAACAGCUGAGUCAAUGGGGGCAACACAGGUUACUGGAAUGUCAGGCAGACAUGCCUAGAAACUGUUCUAUAAAGAUUGUCUGAGAAAGGGAGCUUUGCAGCACCCAGAGACUCUGGAACUCUUGGGAAUUUGUCCACCCUCCUACUGUGUCCAGAAUUGGUGGGUUAUUGGUCUCACUUCAAGAAUGAAGCCGCGGAGCCCCGCAGUGAGUGUUACAGUUCUUAAAGGCGGCGUGUCCGGAGUUUGUUCCUUCUGAUGUCCGGAUGUGUUUGGAGUUUCUUCCUUCCGCUGGGUUCGUGGUCUCACUGGCUCAGGAGUGAAGCUGCAGACCUUCCCGGUGAGUGUUACAACUCUUAAGGCAGCGCGUCUGGAGUUGUUCGUUCCUCCCGGUGGGUUUGUGGUCUCGCUGGCUUCACGAGUGAAGCUGCAGACCUUCGUGGUGAGUGUUACAGUUCAUAAAGGCAGUGUGGACACAAACAGUGAGCAGCAGCAAGAUUUAUUGCAAAGAGCAAAAGAAUAAACCUUCCACAUUGUGGAAGGGAAACCCAGCGGCUUGCCAGUGCUGGCUCAGCAGCCUGCUUUUUCCCCUUAUCUGGCCCCAUCCACAUCCUGCUGAUUGGUCCAUUUUACAGAGAGCCGAUUGGUGUGUUUUACAGAGAGCUGAUUGGUCCGUUUUGACAGGGUGCUGACUGGUGCAUUUACAAUCCCUGAGCUAGACAUAAAGGUUCUCCAAGUCCCCACUAGACUCAGGAGCCCAGCUGGCUUCAUCCAGUGCUUCUUGCAUGGGGGCCGCGGGUGGAGCUGCCUGCGAGUCCUCCGCUGUGUGCCUGUACUCCUCAGCCCUUGGGUGGUCAAUGGGACUGGGCUCAUCGGGGAGGCUUUGGGUGCACAGGAGCCCACAGGUAGGGGGGCGGCUCAGGCAUGGCGGGCUGCCGGUCCUGAGCUCUGCCCGCAGGGAGGCAGCUAAGGCCCGGCGAGAAAUUGAGCACAGCAGCUGCUGGCCCAGGUGCUAAGCUCCUCAAUGCCCGGGGCCGGCUCCGCUGGCUGCUCCGAGUGCGGGGCCCGCCGAGCCCACGCCCAUCCAGAAUUCGCACUGGCCCACAAGCCGCAUGGGCAGCCCUGGUUCCCACCCGCGCCUCUCCCUUCGCACCUCCUGGCAAGCUGAGGGAGCCGGCUCCAGCCUUGGCCAGCCCAGAAAGGGGCUCCUACAGUGCUGCGGUGGGCUGAAGUUCUCCUCAAGCGUGGCCAGAGUGGGCGCCAAGGCCCAGGAGGCGCCCAGAGCUAGCGAGGGCUGUGAGGGCUGCCAGCACGCUGUCACCUCUCACUACCAGGGGAAAGAACACCAUUGAGGAGUUGGAUUCAGAUACAGUGCCCAAACUGCCCUUUUGCCCAGGCAACCCAGAUGAAUUUAUCUGUUGCUCCAUAGCCCUUUACUCUGCUCUACAUUUGUUUUCUUCUUUUUUAAAAAAAUAAAUAGAAUUAUUUAACCUUUUAACACACUGUAUAAUUUGCAUGCUUAUUAUGUCUACUGUUUUCUGACUGUCUGCACCAGAAUGUAAAGUACAAGAGGGCAGAGCUUUUGGUUGGUCCACUGUUAAUAUCCAAGUGUCUAGAUUUUGUCUGCAUCCUAGUAGAU